Molecule: ribosomal RNA, 406 nt
Filed under: uncultured bacterium
Lineage: Bacteria
Description: partial 16S ribosomal RNA
Rfam family: Bacterial small subunit ribosomal RNA
Source: RNAcentral
AUUGAACGCUGGCGGCAGGCCUAACACAUGCAAGUCGAACGAGGGGCGGACGGGUGAGUAAUGUCUGGGAAACUGCCUGAUGGAGGGGGAUAACUACUGGAAACGGUAGCUAAUACCGCAUACCAUCGGAUGUGCCCAGAUGGGAUUAGCUAGUAGGUGGGGUAACGGCUCACCAAGGCGACAAUCCCUAGCGGGUCUGAGAGGAUGACCAGCGCGACGGGAACUGAGACACGGGCCAUACGCCCAAGGGUGGCAGGAGGGGGGAAUAUUGCGCAAUGGGCGCAAGCCGGAUGCAGCCAAGCCGGGUGUAUGAAGAAGGCCCUCGGGGUGUAAAGGUCUUUUAGCUAGGAGGCGGUACUCGCAGAAGAAGCACCGGCUAACUACGUGCCAGCAGCCGCGGUAAUAC